AAGGAUCAUUACUGACUAUCUCUUGUCUCUUUCCUACCCCUUUGGCUUAUGUCUCCUAUCUUUAGUGAGCAGCCAAAAUUUGUAUCUUCCAAACUCUAUAAUGUUUGAUUUUGUCUAAUUCUGAUCAGCAAAGUUAGUGAUAACAAAAGCAAAAACUUUCAACAAUGGAUCUCUUGGUUCUG
RNAcentral lists this unclassified non-coding RNA (182 nucleotides) under uncultured fungus. RNAcentral's name for it is "partial contains 18S rRNA, ITS1, 5.8S rRNA, ITS2 and 28S rRNA". Lineage: Eukaryota; Fungi. The record is from RNAcentral.